GUACACGCUGUGACUAGCAUAUCAAUAAGCGGAGGAAAAGAAACUAACAAGGAUUCCCCUAGUAACGGCGAGUGAAGCGGGAAGAGCUCAAAUUUGAAAUCUUAAAGGGUUUCCCUUUACGAAUUGUAGUUUAAAGAAGUGUUUUCUGUUGAGGUUUUGGUAAAAGUUCUUUGGAAUAGGACAUCAUAGAGGGUGAGAAUCCCGUAUUUGACCUUUACUUUCAACUUUGUGAUACACUUUCAAAGAGUCGGAUUGUUUGGGAAUGCAGUCCAAAAUGGGUGGUAAAUUUCAUCUAAAGCUAAAUAUUGGCGAGAGACCGAUAGCGAACAAGUACCGUGAGGGAAAGAUGAAUAGAACUUUGAAAAGAGAGUUAAACAGUACGUGAAAUUGUCAAAAGGGAAGCGUUUGACACCAGUGUUGUUUUUCUGAAAAUCAAUUAAAGAACUGUUUAUGCUAAGUUGUUUAGACUUUAUCAGCUAACUGUUUAGUUUUGAGCUUUUCUUUAAUGCACUUUUCAGUUAACAAGUCAACAUCAAUUUCUUUUGCUGUAAAAAAGCUUGAGGAAGGUGGCUUGAGAUUCGUCUUAAGUGUUUAUAGCCUCUUGCCUAUGCAGUCGGAGAGAUUGAGGUCUGCAGCGUAGAUCCUUCGGGGCUAAAUGCAUUUGUGCUAAGUUAUAGCAUUUUAUAGACAACUUGUUGACUAUGAUUUGUCUUGUAGCUUACUCGCUUAUGUUAUUUUACCUACGCUAGGAUGUUGACAGCAGUAUAGACUGU
RNAcentral lists this ribosomal RNA (773 nucleotides) under uncultured Neocallimastigales. Its description in RNAcentral is "partial large subunit ribosomal RNA". It matches the Rfam family "Eukaryotic large subunit ribosomal RNA", at positions 22 to 637 of the family's 3401-position model. The record is from RNAcentral. Lineage: Eukaryota; Fungi; Neocallimastigomycota; Neocallimastigomycetes; Neocallimastigales.